This 469-nucleotide ribosomal RNA is filed under the name uncultured bacterium. Its description in RNAcentral is "partial 16S ribosomal RNA". It matches the Rfam family "Bacterial small subunit ribosomal RNA", at positions 27 to 507 of the family's 1533-position model. The record is from RNAcentral.
GGACGAACGCUGGCGGCGUGCUUAACGCAUGCAAGUCGAACGGAAAGGCCCUGCUUUUGUGGGGUGCUCGAGUGGCGAACGGGUGAGUAACACGUGAGUAACCUGCCCUUGACUUUGGGAUAACUUCAGGAAACUGGGGCUAAUACCGGAUAGGAGCUCCUGCUGCAUGGUGGGGGUUGGAAAGUUUCGGCGGUUGGGGAUGGACUCGCGGCUUAUCAGCUUGUUGGUGGGGUAGUGGCUUACCAAGGCUUUGACGGGUAGCCGGCCUGAGAGGGUGACCGGCCACAUUGGGACUGAGAUACGGCCCAGACUCCUACGGGAGGCAGCAGUGGGGAAUAUUGCACAAUGGGCGGAAGCCUGAUGCAGCAACGCCGCGUGCGGGAUGACGGCCUUCGGGUUGUAAACCGCUUUCGCCUGUGACGAAGCGUGAGUGACGGUAAUGGGUAAAGAAGCACCGGCUAACUACGUG